GGAUGAACGCUGGCGGCGUGCUUAACACAUGCAAGUCGAACGAUGAAAGCGGGAGCUUGCUCCUGCUGGAUUAGUGGCGAACGGGUGAGUAACACGUGAGUAACCUGCCCUUGACUCUGGGAUAAGCGUUGGAAACGACGUCUAAUACCGGAUACGACCUUCGGAGGCAUCUCCUGGGGGUGGAAAGAAUUUCGGUCAAGGAUGGACUCGCGGCCUAUCAGCUAGUUGGUGAGGUAAUGGCUUACCAAGGCGACGACGGGUAGCCGGCCUGAGAGGGUGACCGGCCACACUGGGACUGAGACACGGCCCAGACUCCUACGGGAGGCAGCAGUGGGGAAUAUUGCACAAUGGGCGCAAGCCUGAUGCAGCAACGCCGCGUGAGGGACGACGGCCUUCGGGUUGUAAACCUCUUUUAGUAGGGAAGAAGCGAAAGUGACGGUACCUGCAGAAAAAGCACCGGCUAACUACGUGCCAGCAGCCGCGGUAAUACGUAGGGUGCAAGCGUUAUCCGGAAUUAUUGGGCGUAAAGAGCUCGUAGGCGGUUUGUCACGUCUGCUGUGAAAACUGGAGGCUCAACCUCCAGCCUGCAGUGGGUACGGGCAGACUAGAGUGCGGUAGGGGAGAUUGGAAUUCCUGGUGUAGCGGUGGAAUGCGCAGAUAUCAGGAGGAACACCGAUGGCGAAGGCAGAUCUCUGGGCCGUAACUGACGCUGAGGAGCGAAAGCAUGGGGAGCGAACAGGAUUAGAUACCCUGGUAGUCCAUGCCGUAAACGUUGGGAACUAGAUGUAGGGACCAUUCCACGGUUUCUGUGUCGCAGCUAACGCAUUAAGUUCCCCGCCUGGGGAGUACGGCCGCAAGGCUAAAACUCAAAGGAAUUGACGGGGGCCCGCACAAGCGGCGGAGCAUGCGGAUUAAUUCGAUGCAACGCGAAGAACCUUACCAAGGCUUGACAUAUACCGGAAAAGUUCAGAAAUGUUCUCCCCGCAAGGUCGGUAUACAGGUGGUGCAUGGUUGUCGUCAGCUCGUGUCGUGAGAUGUUGGGUUAAGUCCCGCAACGAGCGCAACCCUCGUUCUAUGUUGCCAGCACGUAAUGGUGGGAACUCAUAGGAGACUGCCGGGGUCAACUCGGAGGAAGGUGGGGAUGACGUCAAAUCAUCAUGCCCCUUAUGUCUUGGGCUUCACGCAUGCUACAAUGGCCGAUACAAAGGGCUGCAAUACCGCGAGGUGGAGCGAAUCCCAAAAAGUCGGUCUCAGUUCGGAUUGAGGUCUGCAACUCGACCUCAUGAAGUCGGAGUCGCUAGUAAUCGCAGAUCAGCAACGCUGCGGUGAAUACGUUCCCGGGCCU
Molecule: ribosomal RNA, 1345 nt
Filed under: uncultured bacterium
Lineage: Bacteria
Description: bacterial SSU rRNA
Rfam family: Bacterial small subunit ribosomal RNA
Source: RNAcentral